UACGGGGGGGGCAAGCGUUGUUCAGAAUUACUGGGCGUAAAGGGCUCGUAGGUGGCCAACUAAGUCGGACGUGAAAUCCCUCGGCUUAACCGGGGAACUGCAUCCGAUACUGGAUGGCUUGAGUUCGGGAGAGGGAUGCGGAAUUCCAGGUGUAGCGGUGAAAUGCGUAGAUAUCGUAAGGAAGACCAGUGGCGAAGGCGGGUCUCUGGACAGUUCCUGACGCUGAGGCACGAAGGCCAGGGGAGCAAACGGG
This 253-nucleotide ribosomal RNA is filed under the name uncultured bacterium. Its description in RNAcentral is "partial 16S ribosomal RNA". It matches the Rfam family "Bacterial small subunit ribosomal RNA", at positions 524 to 776 of the family's 1533-position model. The record is from RNAcentral.